This 1252-nucleotide ribosomal RNA is filed under the name metagenome. Its description in RNAcentral is "bacterial LSU rRNA". It matches the Rfam family "Bacterial large subunit ribosomal RNA", at positions 1635 to 2879 of the family's 2925-position model. The record is from RNAcentral.
GAUACGACCGUACCGCAAACCGACACUGGUGCGCGAGAUGAGUAUUCUAAGGCGCUUGAGAGAACUCAGGAGAAGGAACUCGGCAAAUUGACACCGUAACUUCGGAAGAAGGUGUGCCCUAUUAGUGUGUAGUGAACAACGAAGCAUGAAUGGGUUGCAAAAAAUCGGUGGCUGCGACUGUUUAUUAAAAACACAGCACUCUGCAAACACGAAAGUGGACGUAUAGGGUGUGACGCCUGCCCGGUGCUGGAAGAUUAAAUGAUGGGGUGCAAGCUCUUGAUUGAAGUCCCAGUAAACGGCGGCCGUAACAAUAACGGUCCUAAGGUAGCGAAAUUCCUUGUCGGGUAAGUUCCGACCUGCACGAAUGGCGUAACGAUGGCCACACUGUCUCCUCCUGAGACUCAGCGAAGUUGAAAUGUUUGUGAUGAUGCAAUCUCCCCGCGGAAAGACGGAAAGACCCCAUGAACCUUUACUGUAGCUUUGUAUUGGACUUUGAACAGAUCUGUGUAGGAUAGGUGGGAGGCUUUGAAGCAGGGUCGCUAGAUCUUGUGGAGCCAACGUUGAAAUACCACCCUGGUGUGUUUGAGGUUCUAACCUAGGUCCAUUAUCUGGAUCGGAGACAGUGCAUGGUAGGCAGUUUGACUGGGGCGGUCUCCUCCCAAAGCGUAACGGAGGAGUUCGAAGGUACGCUAGUUACGGUCGGACAUCGUGACGAUAGUGCAAUGGCAUAAGCGUGCUUAACUGCGAGACUGACAAGUCGAGCAGAUGCGAAAGCAGGACAUAGUGAUCCGGUGGUUCUGUAUGGAAGGGCCAUCGCUCAACGGAUAAAAGGUACUCUGGGGAUAACAGGCUGAUACCGCCCAAGAGUUCAUAUCGACGGCGGUGUUUGGCACCUCGAUGUCGGCUCAUCUCAUCCUGGGGCUGUAGCCGGUCCCAAGGGUAUGGCUGUUCGCCAUUUAAAGAGGUACGUGAGCUGGGUUUAAAACGUCGUGAGACAGUUUGGUCCCUAUCUUCCGUGGGCGCUGCAGAUUUGAGGAAGCCUGCUCCUAGUACGAGAGGACCGGAGUGGACACACCUCUGGUGUAUCGGUUGUCACGCCAGUGGCAUUGCCGAGUAGCUAAGUGUGGAAGAGAUAACCGCUGAAAGCAUCUAAGCGGGAAACUCGUUUCAAGAUGAGAUCUGCCGGGGCCUUGAGCCCCCUAAAGAGUCGUUCAAGACCAGGACGUUGAUAGGUCAGGUGUGGAAGCGAAAA